UGGCUUGGUUUCCUGGGGGGUGGACUCAGCCUACUCCACCUCCCCUCAGCCGAGCCUAGAGUAGAGGGGCCAGGCAUCCUCUCCGGGGGAGCGGCGUUUACGUAAGGAGCCUCGCCUGAGCUGUCCUAGCCUCACAUUU
This is a non-coding RNA of Microcebus murinus (gray mouse lemur), 139 nucleotides long. NCBI's taxonomy places the organism in Eukaryota, Metazoa, Chordata, Mammalia, Primates, Cheirogaleidae. The record is from Ensembl.